Molecule: ribosomal RNA, 714 nt
Filed under: uncultured bacterium
Lineage: Bacteria
Description: bacterial SSU rRNA
Rfam family: Bacterial small subunit ribosomal RNA
Source: RNAcentral
CCCUUAGAGUUUGAUCCUGGCUCAGGAUGAACGUUGGCGGCAUGCCUAACACAUGCAAGUCGAACGGCAGCACGGUCUAGCUUGCUAGAUGGGUGGCGAGUGGCGGACGGGUGAGUAACGCGUAGGAAUAUACCUUAAAGAGGGGGACAACUUGGGGAAACUCAAGCUAAUACCGCAUAAUUUCUUUGGAAUAAAGCUGGGGACCUUCGGGCCUGGCGCUUUAAGAAUAGCCUGCGUCCGAUUAGCUAGUUGGUGUGGUAAAGGCAUACCAAGGCGACGAUCGGUAGCUGGUCUGAGAGGAUGACCAGCCACACUGGAACUGAGAGACGGUCCAGACUCCUACGGGAGGCAGCAGUGGGGAAUAUUGGACAAUGGGGGGAACCCUGAUCCAGCGAUGCCGCGUGUGUGAAGAAGGCCUGAGGGUUGUAAAGCACUUUCAGUGGGGAGGAGGUUUGACUGGUUAAGAGCUGGUUGAAUGGACGUUACCUACAGAAGAAGCACCGGCUAACUCCGUGCCAGCAGCCGCGGUAAUACGGAGGGUGCGAGCGUUAAUCGGAAUUACUGGGCGUAAAGGGUGCGUAGGUGGUUUAUUAAGUUAUCUGUGAAAUUCCUGGGCUCAACCUGGGCUGGUCAGAUGAUACUGGUAGACUGGAGUAUGGGAGAGGGCGGAAGAAUUUCCGGCGUAGCGGUGAAAUGCGUAGAGAUCGGAAGGAA